Molecule: long non-coding RNA, 2601 nt
Organism: Rhineura floridana
Lineage: Eukaryota; Metazoa; Chordata; Lepidosauria; Squamata; Rhineuridae
Exons: 3
Source: RefSeq, a predicted model, not a curated record
UUGCUGUUACCUGAUGUUGGGAUGCUGUCUUCCUAUUGCUAUCCAGGCCUUACAACUCUGGGGGAGAUAUGGAACCAUGAAGUUAUUCUGCCUAUCUUUGUAUUAUGUAUGGAUGUCCAGCCUCAUAUUCUCCUGGAAUGUGCAUUCAAGGACCACCAGAUGAGCUACACAAUGUUAUAUUAUAGUUCAUUUCUAUGCCGUCUUUUGAGCAAAAAGACCCCCCAGGUGGCUUACAAAGAAUAAGCACAAAUACAAAAUACAAGUAAGAAAAAAUACAAAUUACAACAUUAAGACAAUGAACUUUUAAGAAAACAAAACCUGUGUGCCUAAAAGCCAAAUACAUUAACCUUCCUGGCUAAGGGCAGCCCCCAGAAAGAUGUCAGAAAGAGCAGUAAAUGGUCCUUUUCAGGCACUUCAGGGAGGAUCUUGUAUGCCUGACAUACAAACUCUGUUCUUUCCAGGAAAAGCAAAGAAAUCAGAAGAUCCAGAUAUUGGUCAUCUCCUGGUGCAUUGGGGAGAGUGAAUUGCAUAUCAUCUUCCAUUCACCUGCAUUGCAUCAUUUGGAAUCUCCAUCAGUUGGACCAAAAAUUCCUUCAAGUGCCUGUCCAGAUGGAUCUUAUCUUGAAAGAGGCUCUCUAGGACCAUUGCUUGAUCUGUGCUGUAGACCUCCUUCUAAUGCUUUCAUGAAGCUUAACAGGUACCACCACCACCUCAGCUCUAUUUCCUCUGAACAGAGCAAAGACAGCAGAAGAUCCACUGCUUGGCCUUUUCCCAACGCUGGGGUAGAGACCCAAUGUGAAUCAAGCCGAGCUGCAGAGGAGAAAUGGGGUUAGCAAAACUGGCCUUGCCUCACUUUCCAUGCCAUGACAGAGACCAUAUCUUGCAGACUAGGUACUUCCUUCCUUGACCUCCACAGAACUCCCUCCCCAUCUUGUUCUCCCCCAUCCCCAUGAAUUUCAUCCUCUGCCAUCUCCAUGAGACUGGCCAGCACUUCCCUCUGCUGGUGGUCUGGUUAUGGGCUUCUUCUUCAGGACCUACAGGUGUGUUGGGGCUGAAGCCUGGCAUCCUUCUCCUAUGGGCCUAGCUAGACUUCCCUGAUUCCUGCCACUCUGGCCCAAUGGGCAAUUUCAGAUCCCAGUUGCCUGGAGCUGCCAAAGAGAAGCAGGGGUAGCAAGGCUGAGUUGGUCUUUGAACUGUGUAUAGAGAGGAUCAGCAGUCUGCCUUGAGGAGUCACUGUUUAUCAGAGCUGGAGAAAUGCUGCAGGGUGGGCAGAGAAGCAAGAAGAUCUGGAAAGCAAAGGUGAAGGUCUUCCUCACAGAUGAGAAAGAUUGGAGAAGCCAUAAUCUUCUCCAGUGUUGAAGGAACUAGAAACUAGAUAUGUACCAAGGUUGGGGAAAUGCUCCUUUCUCUACACAAUCCUCUGUCCCACUUCCUCCCCACUCACCUAAACUCCAUCCUCCAGUAUCUCAAUGAGGUUGGCCAGCUCCUCCCUCUGCUGAAUGUCCAGACUAUUGUUCUCCUUGAAUACUUCCUUCAAGGCCCUUGGUUGACCUGGGUUAUCAACAGCCCUCUUCCUUCUCCAAUUCUGUGUGCACAUCCCCAAUCAUGGCUGUUCCUGCCCAGUGGGGGAAAAGGGAGCUGUGAGUUGCUACAAGGUGCAGAAGAAAAGUGGGGUUAGCUAGGUUGGCUUUGCAUUGCUGUGCCCAGAGCACUGGUGCUACACCUUGAGGACCAGUGACUUAAAGGAGAAGGAAUGCUGUGGGAUGGUUGCAGCAUCUGGGGAUGAAGGAGGAGCACCAAAGCUGAGAACCAGAUGUAAUCCUCAGAGAUGUUUGUGAAGUCCACCAGCAUUUCCCACAGCACAAGAUCUGGGCUGCAGUUCACUUUGAAGGUCUCCUCCAGGACACGCAACUAGAAAAUGGAACAAACAGUCCUUGGCCUCCUUGUCUGGGUCUGGCUGGACCUUGCUUCGUUUGGCUGCUCCAGCCCUGUGUCACCAAGUUGGUCCCAGCUGCAGAAUAGAAGCGGAGUUAGCAAGGUUGACUUUACUUCCCUUUGUACAUGAAGAUGACCAGCUACUUACCAGAAUUGGACAAAUGCUGCAAGGUGAACGGAACAGCAUCAGGUAUGCCUGGGCAGAGAGGCGAUGAUCAUGCUCCACAAUGGGGAAGGCAUGGAAAGCCAUCUUCUGCUAAUCUUGUCUGGAGGUGAAGGAAUAGGGCAGAGGACUCACUGGCCCCAUUUCAUGGACUGCCAAAAGGGCAGGGGUCCUUGGCUCAUGCAUGGAGCUGCCUGGGAAUGGGGACAGAGCCUAGGCCAAGACCACCCCCUCACCGGUAGAGGGUUGUACCUCUUCAUUAACCUCUGGAUGAUAGUUUUUGCUCCUGUCCUAUCCUCUGUUUCUGUGUAACACACCUGAAAUGUGUUAUGAUCCUCAGCCUCGAAGUGGGAGCUUGUGUUUAACAGUAAGUAGGCUGGGAUCUAACUGGAAUCAUUUAGGCUUGUGUGGAGGGUGGAGCAAAGGUCACUCAUCUGUAUUCUUGGAUGCGAUGGUUCCAGUACUGCAGGGCUUAUGCUGUCUGUUCUUUCAAAACUGGAGGG